Long non-coding RNA from Sinocyclocheilus anshuiensis, 202 nucleotides. RefSeq lists it as uncharacterized. Lineage: Eukaryota; Metazoa; Chordata; Actinopteri; Cypriniformes; Cyprinidae. The record is from RefSeq and is a predicted model, not a curated record. The transcript is spliced from 3 exons.
UCCGGUGAUUUUUGUCUUUUAAACCAGAAAGACAGCUGACAUAUCUAACCGACACUCACGCCACAGAAACUAAAACAACAGAGCAAAGGCACCAUGGAGUGCUGGGAUGUCAAAGGCAACAAGAUGGCUGCAAUACUACGAGCCUAAAAUUAAAAAAAGGAGCCUGACCAGGUGCAGAAGGCAGCAGUCCCCAUCAUUGCUG